ACAUUAUUUUUACUGAAGAUCACAGCUUCCCAAUGUUAAGCAGAGGAGAGUCUCUUCAGAUUGGCUCCUGGGUCCUUCAGACAUGAUCACAGCCAUAUUAUUUCAUUUCCACUCCACAAAUCCAACAUAGUUAAUUGGGUUUGAUAUUAAUGAGCUUGUACAGCUAAAACAUGGAAAUAUAAUAACUACUGUUGAUCGAUCUUUCAGCCCCGUCACGAAGGGCCCUCGUAACUGGACCUCAUGCCAAACAACUCGUUACAAAAAGAGCUAGGGUCUCAGACCACGCAGAAGCUUCAUGAGACCCCUCCUUGUCUGCAUGGACAAGUGGUCGACUCUGGAUCCCAAGAUGUUGCUUCCCAGUUUGGUGGUGAAUCCUCCAUAGUCUGGUGAGUCUAACUGAAAGGCUCAACACUCCAGUGAAGAAGAAACCACAAAUGAUGAACAAAUGUUUUGUCACUCUUUCAGAUUCAGAAAUUUUGCUUGAAAAAAGUCUGAAGAAACUAAUUUAGGAAAGAAACCUCUGCCAAUAACUCUAAAGAGUUUGAAUUGGUUGCCUUUAUUCCUAACACUAUGAUGUUUUGGGAUAGGAACUAGUAGAUGGUAUUUUUUCUUUCCCAUUGGCAGUAUAUCAUUUACAACAGAUGUUCCCGACUCAGGAUAAAAUGUAACUGGCAGCCAGAGUCACCCACCAGCCCCUGAGGAAAGGGCUCAACCUUGAGAACAUCUGGCUGGCUUCAAGAAGGUCACACAAAUACAAGAUGAUGCUGAGGAUAAGACAAGUGGUUUUGAGAGAGGAAAACCUUUAAAAAUAUUUGGAAGAGUCCUGAAGACCAAUAAAAUAAAGACACUGCAAUACUUCAUGGACACCAGAGAGCAAUUUAACACUGAAAUGAAAGCAACAUGUUGCACCUGAACACUGAAAAAAGCCCAUGUGUUAAGAGGAAGAAGAAAUAUGCAAUUCACUGCAAUAAAUAUUGAACCUUUAAAAAACAGAAGGAACAUGAAAACUAAAGGACACUGGGCCACAGCAAAUAAGGUGGCGGCAGCCAUCCCAUAAUGAUUACAUGAUCUCCAUGAUUGUAAAAUGUAUAUGCCACCUGAAUUUAUUCUUAGACCUUCUCUCAAAGAUGUCUGCAUUCAACACAGGCAAUAACUGCAGGUAAUAGUGAAGAAUCCUUCAGGCAUGAUAGAGGAACAGACUAAGUGUGGGAAAAGGAAGAACUAGGCCGGGCGCGGUGGCUCACGCCUGUAAUCCCAGCACUUUGGGAGGCCGAGGCGGGCGGA
This 1284-nucleotide long non-coding RNA is filed under the name Homo sapiens (human). RNAcentral's name for it is "HSALNT0169906". Lineage: Eukaryota; Metazoa; Chordata; Mammalia; Primates; Hominidae. The record is from RNAcentral.